RNAcentral lists this ribosomal RNA (255 nucleotides) under uncultured bacterium. RNAcentral's name for it is "partial 16S ribosomal RNA". It matches the Rfam family "Bacterial small subunit ribosomal RNA", at positions 524 to 776 of the family's 1533-position model. The record is from RNAcentral.
GACGGAGGGUGCUAGCGUUGUUCGGAAUCACUGGGCGUAAAGGGCGCGUAGGCGGCGCAGCAUGUCGGCUUUGUGAAAGCCCGGGGCUCAACCCCGGAGGUGCGGCCGAAACUGCUGUGCUGGAGGCCGGAAGAGGAGGGUGGAAUACCCAGUGUAGAGGUGAAAUUCGUAGAUAUUGGGUGGAACACCGGUGGCGAAAGCGGCUCUCUGGUCCGGUCCUGACGCUGAGGCGCGAAAGCGUGGGGAGCAAACAGG